GACGAACGCUGGCGGCGUGCCUAAUACAUGCAAGUUGAGCGCUGAAGGUUGGUACUUGUACCAACUGGAUGAGCAGCGAACGGGUGAGUAACGCGUGGGGAAUCUGCCUUUGAGCGGGGGACAACAUUUGGAAACGAAUGCUAAUACCGCAUAAAAACUUUAAACACAAGUUUUAAGUUUGAAAGAUGCAAUUGCAUCACUCAAAGAUGAUCCCGCGUUGUAUUAGCUAGUUGGUGAGGUAAAGGCUCACCAAGGCGAUGAUACAUAGCCGACCUGAGAGGGUGAUCGGCCACAUUGGGACUGAGACACGGCCCAAACCCCUACGGGAGGCAGCAGUAGGGAAUCUUCGGCAAUGGACGAAAGUCUGACCGAGCAACGCCGCGUGAGUGAAGAAGGUUUUCGGAUCGUAAAACUCUGUUGGUAGAGAAGAACGUUGGUGAGAGUGGAAAGCUCAUCAAGUGACGGUAACUACCCAGAAAGGGACGGCUAACUACGUG
RNAcentral lists this ribosomal RNA (497 nucleotides) under uncultured bacterium. Its description in RNAcentral is "partial 16S ribosomal RNA". It matches the Rfam family "Bacterial small subunit ribosomal RNA", at positions 28 to 507 of the family's 1533-position model. The record is from RNAcentral.